This 253-nucleotide ribosomal RNA is filed under the name uncultured bacterium. RNAcentral's name for it is "partial 16S ribosomal RNA". It matches the Rfam family "Bacterial small subunit ribosomal RNA", at positions 524 to 776 of the family's 1533-position model. The record is from RNAcentral.
UACGUAGGGGGCAAGCGUUGUCCGGAAUUAUUGGGCGUAAAGCGCGUGUAGGCGGCUCGGUAAGUCUGCUGUGAAAGUCCAGGGCUCAACCCUGGAAUGCCGGUGGAUACUGUCGAGCUCGAGUCCGGAAGAGGCGAGUGGAAUUCCUGGUGUAGCGGUGAAAUGCGCAGAUAUCAGGAGGAACACCAAUGGCGAAGGCAGCUUGCUGGGACGGUACUGACGCUGAGACGCGAAAGCGUGGGGAGCAAACAGG